GGAAGGGAGGCUGGGUCUUACCGCGAAGGUCGGUGUCCGUUGAAGAUGGGUGAGAGUUUGCCGAAGCCAAGCACCCUCAGGAAGAGGAAGAGAGUACUUUGCAGGGAUUCGAGCAGCGAUCCGCGAGGUGAGACUGGACUCAAGACAUCUUAUUAGGGCUUGCUUGGUCGCCUUCUCAUUGAAACCCCAGGUCCGGAGAAGCUAACAGUCUUGAUGGAAAUCUGGGGCAAAGAACUGGGAGCCUCUAGCCAGCCCCCUCCGCGCUGCGCCGCAGUCGGAUCCCGGAGCGCUUCUGCGUAACGUCAGCGCGCCGGGUAAUUUACCUUUCCUGCGCGUCUGUCAAUAUGACUAAUUUCCACCCGGGUCAAAAAGCCUUUCUCCGGCAGUCCAUCUUGGAGCGCUCUCUUAACGCGGUAGACGGGGGUGGUUGUUUUGUUUCCACCCUAGAAAUAAAUACUCUUGGGGCGUCCCUGCCAGGGCAGCCCUGAGACGAGCAGGCGAAUAUACACCAUGUCAAUUAAAAGCAGUUUGCCUUGAA
Molecule: long non-coding RNA, 538 nt
Filed under: Rattus norvegicus (Norway rat)
Lineage: Eukaryota; Metazoa; Chordata; Mammalia; Rodentia; Muridae
Description: long non-coding RNA NONRATT011956
Source: RNAcentral